AUGACUCCAACCGCGGAGGGUGGGUGGGUGGGAAUCGCAAAGGCGAUAAUGGUGGGGAAGGUGGGGCAGGAGCCGAUACAGAAGCGGCUGCGGAGAGGGAGAACGGUCGUACUGUUCUCGCUCGGCAGUCGGCACCGGCGGCAUCCGCAACAACCGCCGCCCGCUGGACUGCGAGGAGCCGCACCAGUACGCUGAACGCUGCUCCGUGCAGUGGCACCGCGUCUGCAUCUACCCGGACCGGCUCGGCAGGCCGGCAGCCUCGCGCUCAAGCACGUCAAGACUUGUUCUAUUCUUUAUCUGGAAGGAAAUCUUGAGACGAAAGUGUUUUCUCUAUAACUAGACUGGUUCGGCGCAUAAGAGAAAUAGCUGUGCGCUCAAAUGGUAUGUUUAUUGCACCAUUGAUUUUGACUUGUGGCAAAUUUGCUUGAUUGAUACAUGUUAGAAUGCAAUUCCAAUAGAUAUCAAAAAUUAAAAAUUUGAUAAAAUGUUUGAUUAUGCUUUGGAAAUUAUACAAAAUGAAAAGAUCAAUCUAUAUGUAAAUCAUUGAUAUCCUGGGUACUUAAUCAACAACAAAAGUCAUUGCCCCAGAUCCCAAAUUUCAUAAUUUUAUCAGUUGGCCAUUUUUGUUUUUGAUCCUUGCACACAAUGACAGUACCUCUGAGGUAUUGUUUCACUUUCACCCUGAAUUUACAUGAUAAAUCCUAAAUGAAAUUAUAAAUGCAGCUGUCAAUUUGUUUUACCUAUAUAAAUGAUGCAAGAUUCAAGUGCAGGAGCUGAAAAUUUAUCUUUCAGGGACCAAUAAGAAUACAAACUUAACAGCUAGGUAUAAUCAUAAGAUUAUAUAUCGUGUUUCAUUUUGUUAUCAUUAAACUAAUCCACAUGGUGUUCAAGUGAUUACACAAGUGCAUAGAUUGUUUUAAAAGUUGGGUUCGAUAGAUAUGUAGAAUUCCAUGUCACCAUCGCUGAAGCCACGCAGGAAAGCCUCAUGUUUGCACCUAGGCCUUCAGCGGCUGUAGCGACUGCAUGUUGCGGAUGGUAUCCUUCCAUUACGAUGAGGAUGUCUUCCAGAUCAGCUAUCAUGGUGGUUCCUUGUUGUGCCCAUGGGCAGCACACCAACUGUUUGAUGAAAUGCAUGGUCGAGGCAAAUACUUCAUUUCUUCAUAUUGUUCAACUGCAACUGAUUUGGAAGUCCACAGAUAACGAGAUGUGACAGAUGGGCCAUUAAGAACUCUCUAAGUCCGUUCUAUCAAAUGUAAAGAAAACAGGUAGCUCUACUAUGUUUAUGGUCUUUCCUAUUGAAGUAGGAAUUCAUAGGUGUGUAGCAGUGCUCAGCGAUUGCACGAGUGAAGGGGAUGCAAAAGAUGGUGUCUCCACCUCUGACUCCAUUCAUGAGACCAAAAAACAAGCGUGUACAAACGAUGGAAAGAGAAUAAACUAUGUCAAACGAUCAAGAUUGCAUCGCUCAUCUUUUGCCACAAACACUGCAAGAGAGAUUGAUUUACAUAUAGUGAAUGAAUCAAUUCUAUAGUCUCAAAGAUUUAUCUCUUGGUUUUCUUUAGAUGGGAUGCGUCUCAGAUUAAGUUUUAUGUAAAUUUUAAGUUGCCAAAAUAAACAACUAAAAUAAAUCUUUAUGCUGCCACGCCAAAGGAUUCACCUGGAUGCUACA
This is a long non-coding RNA of Oryza sativa Japonica Group (Japanese rice), 1666 nucleotides long. RefSeq lists it as uncharacterized. The record is from RefSeq and is a predicted model, not a curated record. NCBI's taxonomy places the organism in Eukaryota, Viridiplantae, Streptophyta, Magnoliopsida, Poales, Poaceae.